GAUGAAGAACGCAGCGAAAUGCGAUAAGUAAUGUGAAUUGCAGAAUUCAGUGAAUCAUCGAAUCUUUGAACGCACCUUGCACCCUUUGGCAUUCCGAAGGGUAUGCUCGUUUGAGUGUCAUUGUACUCUCACACUCUCCGAUCCUAUGGAUUCGGGGAGCGGUGGACUUGGGUGUUGCUGCCUUUCCCUGUGGCUCACCUCAAAUGCGUCAGUGCACCUCUUGGUUGGACAUAGUACGGCGUGAUAAGUGUCUUCGCCGGCACCUCGCAAGAGGGUGGCCGAUCGGGAGCUCUGCGCUUUCAAACCGUCUUAGGACAAUUUCUGACAUCUUGACCUCAAAUCGAGUAGGACUACCCGCUGAACUUAAGCAUAUCAAUAAGCGGAGGA
RNAcentral lists this unclassified non-coding RNA (387 nucleotides) under soil metagenome. RNAcentral's name for it is "partial contains 5.8S ribosomal RNA, internal transcribed spacer 2, and large subunit ribosomal RNA". The stretch from base 1 to 120 matches the Rfam family "5.8S ribosomal RNA", at positions 35 to 154 of the family's 154-position model. The record is from RNAcentral.